This is an RNA transcript of Ochotona princeps (American pika), 1484 nucleotides long. It is a transcript of the gene named interleukin 19, with no coding region annotated. NCBI's taxonomy places the organism in Eukaryota, Metazoa, Chordata, Mammalia, Lagomorpha, Ochotonidae. The record is from RefSeq and is a predicted model, not a curated record. The transcript has 6 exons.
UUGGUUGACUCAAGGAAGAAGCAGGAGGCAGUUGCCCCUGGAGCUCCACUGGCUGAGGUCUUAAGUCUCCUCUUGGCUUCCCCCUGAACUGCCCUUUGUGGUCCCCAGGGGAAGUAGAUGAGGGGCCCUAUCUUCAUGGCUCUCUUCUCUGCAGGCUGGGCAGCUGAUGUGCACCCCUGUCUGUAGGACAUGAAGGCACAUGGUGUCCCCCUCUGGCUCCUGGGCGUGAUGACCAUCCUAUGCUUAGGGUACAGCCGUGCUCUCAGGAGAUGUCCCAUCUCCAUGGACAUGUACCACCUGCAGCAGAGUUUCCAAGACAUCAAAAGAGUCAUGCAAGCCAAUGAUACCUUUCAAAACAUCACUGUCCUGUCCACCCUGGAGAACCUGCAGAGCAUUAAGCCACUGGAUGUGUGCUGCGUGACUGGGCACCUCCUGGCAUUCUACGUGGACAGGGUGUUCAAGGAUCAUCAGGAGCCGGAUCCACACAUCUUGAGGAAAAUCAGUGGCAUUGCCAAUUCCUUCCUCUACAUGCAGAAGACAGUUCAGCAAUGUCAGGUGCAGAGACAGUGUCACUGCAGGGAGGAAGCCACCAACGCAACUCAAAUUAUCCAUGACAACUAUAAUCAGGGAGAGAGGGAGAAAGAAAGAGAUCUCAACUACCAGUUCAUGCUCCCGAUGCCCACAGUGGCCACAGCUGGCAACUCAUUUCAGGUCUUUCAUGUGAGUGUCAGGAACCCAGUUAUUUGAGCCAUCACCCACUGCUCCCCAGCAUCUGUAUGGGCAGGAAAAGGUGGAGCAGGGAAUUGAACUCAGGUACUCAGAUGUAGGUACCUUAAUCAGUAUCCAAACUGCAGCCUGCCUCACUGUUUCCUUGUGCUCUCACAUGGCAGGCCUAACCUGGAUUACUGUCUGGGGACAGUGCGCUGCCUAAGAUGGGGACGUUGCUGAGGGAGCAAAGAAUGGCUAUGAGCGGCAUGCUUUAGCUGGAGGCCCACUCAGCUGCCAUCAAGUCACUGGGAGAGCUUAAUGUCUUUCUGGCCUGGCUUAGCGAGAAUCACCAAGACAGCUCUGCAGCCUGACACCGGGACAACCACUUGAUCACUCCACCGUGAAAUUUCUUGGGGCAACAGCUGAUCUGGAAGGGGGAGGAACAUGAGGCAGACCCCCUCAUGCGUAUCCCAGCAUCAGGCUUUUGGGAGAAGGCCUCCUGUUGACUUUGAGCUGUCACUCUGCGGUUUGGAGGUUGUAGGGGACCACUGGAGCCAAGCAGAUCCUGCUCUGCAGUUGAGGAUCUUAUGACUGGUCCUAGGUUGCUGGAUCCCCCCUAGCCCUACCAGGUGCUCCAGUGUCAUAUUUAUCACAGUAUAUGUCUUUCCAAGGUCCCGUGAGCUGGCCCUGGAGGACAAGGCCCACUCCCCCGUAACUUAUUGUGAGGUUGUUGAUCCCGCAGGAUGAGAGCUCUGUGUUCCCCUGUGGUGCACACU